Molecule: ribosomal RNA, 497 nt
Filed under: uncultured bacterium
Lineage: Bacteria
Description: partial 16S ribosomal RNA
Rfam family: Bacterial small subunit ribosomal RNA
Source: RNAcentral
GAUGAACGCUGGCGGCGUGCCUAAUACAUGCAAGUCGAGCGAACAGACGAGGAGCUUGCUCCUCUGACGUUAGCGGCGGACGGGUGAGUAACACGUGGAUAACCUACCUAUAAGACUGGGAUACCUUGGGGAAACGGGGCCUAAUACGGGAAAAAUUAUUAAACCCCUGGGUUAAUAGGUAAAAGAGGUUUUUCCGUUACCUAUUGAAUGAAUCCCGGCCGCAUUAGCUAGUUGGUAAGGUAACGGCUUACCAAGGCGACGAUGCGUAGCCGACCUGAGAGGGUGAUCGGCCACACUGGAACUGAGACACGGUCCAGACUCCUACGGGAGGCAGCAGUAGGGAAUCUUCCGCAAUGGGCGAAAGCCUGACGGAGCAACGCCGCGUGAGUGAUGAAGGUCUUCGGAUCGUAAAACUCUGUUAUUAGGGAAGAACAAAUGUGUAAGUAACUAUGCACGUCUUGACGGUACCUAAUCAGAAAGCCACGGCUAACUACGUG